CGAACUCUGGUAUUGAUUGGUGCUUGCAUCAUGAUUUACAUUUGAGUGAGUGGCGAACUGGUGAGUAACACGUGGGAAACCUGCCCAGAAGCGGGGGAUAACACCUGGAAACAGAUGCUAAUACCGCAUAACAACUUGGACCGCAUGGUCCGAGUUUGAAAGAUGGCUUCGGCUAUCACUUUUGGAUGGUCCCGCGGCGUAUUAGCUAGAUGGUGGGGUAACGGCUCACCAUGGCAAUGAUACGUAGCCGACCUGAGAGGGUAAUCGGCCACAUUGGGACUGAGACACGGCCCAAACUCCUACGGGAGGCAGCAGUAGGGAAUCUUCCACAAUGGACGAAAGUCUGAUGGAGCAACGCCGCGUGAGUGAAGAAGGGUUUCGGCUCGUAAAACUCUGUUGUUAAAGAAGAACAUAUCUGAGAGUAACUGUUCAGGUAUUGACGGUAUUUAACCAGAAAGCCACGGCUAACUACGUGCCAGCAGCCGCGGUAAUACGUAGGUGGCAAGCGUUGUCCGGAUUUAUUGGGCGUAAAGCGAGCGCAGGCGGUUUUUUAAGUCUGAUGUGAAAGCCUUCGGCUCAACCGAAGAAGUGCAUCGGAAACUGGGAAACUUGAGUGCAGAAGAGGACAGUGGAACUCCAUGUGUAGCGGUGAAAUGCGUAGAUAUAUGGAAGAACACCAGUGGCGAAGGCGGCUGUCUGGUCUGUAACUGACGCUGAGGCUCGAAAGUAUGGGUAGCAAACAGGAUUAGAUACCCUGGUAGUCCAUACCGUAAACGAUGAAUGCUAAGUGUUGGAGGGUUUCCGCCCUUCAGUGCUGCAGCUAACGCAUUAAGCAUUCCGCCUGGGGAGUACGGCCGCAAGGCUGAAACUCAAAGGAAUUGACGGGGGCCCGCACAAGCGGUGGAGCAUGUGGUUUAAUUCGAAGCUACGCGAAGAACCUUACCAGGUCUUGACAUACUAUGCAAAUCUAAGAGAUUAGACGUUCCCUUCGGGGACAUGGAUACAGGUGGUGCAUGGUUGUCGUCAGCUCGUGUCGUGAGAUGUUGGGUUAAGUCCCGCAACGAGCGCAACCCUUAUUAUCAGUUGCCAGCAUUAAGUUGGGCACUCUGGUGAGACUGCCGGUGACAAACCGGAGGAAGGUGGGGAUGACGUCAAAUCAUCAUGCCCCUUAUGACCUGGGCUACACACGUGCUACAAUGGAUGGUACAACGAGUUGCGAACUCGCGAGAGUAAGCUAAUCUCUUAAAGCCAUUCUCAGUUCGGAUUGUAGGCUGCAACUCGCCUACAUGAAGUCGGAAUCGCUAGUAAUCGCGGAUCAGCAUGCCGCGGUGAAUACGUUCCCGGGCCUUGUACACACCGCCCGUCACACCAUGAGAGUUUGUAACACCCAAAGUCGGUGGGGUAACCUUUUAGGAACCAGCCG
This 1423-nucleotide ribosomal RNA is filed under the name Lactiplantibacillus pentosus. RNAcentral describes it as "bacterial SSU rRNA". It matches the Rfam family "Bacterial small subunit ribosomal RNA". RNAcentral also lists the same sequence under 2 other names. Lineage: Bacteria; Bacillati; Bacillota; Bacilli; Lactobacillales; Lactobacillaceae. The record is from RNAcentral.